AACGAACGCUGGCGGCAUGCCUAACACAUGCAAGUCGAACGGAUGGUUUCGGCCAUCAGUGGCGCACGGGUGAGUAACGCGUGGGAAUCUGCCCGGCAGUGGGGGAUAACCUCUGGAAACGGAGGCUAAUACCGCAUACGCCCCUUGGGGGAAAGGCUUGCUGCUGUCGGAGGAGCCCGCGUCGGAUUAGGUAGUUGGUGGGGUAACGGCCUACCAAGCCUGUGAUCCGUAGCUGGUCUGAGAGGAUGAUCAGCCACACUGGGACUGAGACACGGCCCAGACUCCUACGGGAGGCAGCAGUGGGGAAUAUUGCGCAAUGGGGGAAACCCUGACGCAGCCAUGCCGCGUGAGUGAUGAAGGCCCUCGGGUCGUAAAACUCUGUCGGGAGGGACGAAGGCUUCGGCUUGACGGUACCUCCCAAGAAAGCACCGGCUAACUCCGUG
RNAcentral lists this ribosomal RNA (443 nucleotides) under uncultured bacterium. RNAcentral describes it as "bacterial SSU rRNA". It matches the Rfam family "Bacterial small subunit ribosomal RNA", at positions 28 to 507 of the family's 1533-position model. The record is from RNAcentral.